Myodes glareolus (Bank vole) is the source of this 1090-nucleotide long non-coding RNA. RefSeq lists it as uncharacterized. The record is from RefSeq and is a predicted model, not a curated record. Lineage: Eukaryota; Metazoa; Chordata; Mammalia; Rodentia; Cricetidae.
CCUGAAGUUGUGUUGCGUGUUAAUCCCGAUAUCCCUCGCUCAGAAGAACUACAGUUGCCAUGGCUGGCGCUGCAAAGUGGAGGUUCCAUUGAGAUCUGGAAAGUGGGGAUUUGUGAACGGGGUCGCUCCAUCCGAGGAGUGUAUUGGGGAAGGUCAGAAGAGGCACUACCUCCCAGGAAAAGAUGUCUCACAGUGCUGAAACUCCCCCAGUUAACUGGCCAUGUACAUUUUCUGGAUAUUGUGUUAUCAUCUGUUCGACAAUUGUAAUGCUGCUGCAGGCAAGCAGGGAAGAAACUUAAGAAUGACUUCUGUCCUCUGGUUCUGGCCCAAAUCAUCUCCAACCCAUUUCCCUUUAUCAUCCCCGUCUGCUGGGUCUCUUUUGCUCAGGCAGCGAGCUUCUGCCAGUUGCUGCACCUACAGAAAGCACCUUCUCUUAUUGGCAGCCACCGCCUCUGGGUCUUUUACUUCAUUAUUAGUUCACCAAGACGGUCAAGAGGGUUAAUUAUUGAUGUCAACAUUAUGAACUUUGUUACUACUCUUAAAGAUAAUCUGCAUUAACAGCUGUUGUGAAAUUGUCUUUCCUAGACUGCUAUUGUCUAGUGGUUUUCUGUUCUCCAUGUACAUGACAAUUACCUGGAGAGCUCUUGAAAGCCACCAAACCCAGCCGACCCAGGGCCCAAUGACCCAGAAGCACAGUAUAGUCAUUACUCUCCAUCAAACAUAAUUGCCUCUCCAUGUCUUUGUCUGCGGUGGUCCCAGUCCUUGACACACAAAAAGAAUCAGCAGAGCUCAGUCAAUACCCAGCCCCCUCUCUCCCAUUCUGCAACCAGCCUGGCAAAUGUAGGAUUCAUUUGAAUUUUCAAGCCAUUCAUUCCUAAACUCUCCUCUAUCCCUACCCACAUCAUCCUCUACAAUCCCACUCCCUUCAACUCACCAUUUGUCAAAAUAUAAGCUGCAGUAAGCAUCUAGGAAUUGUAAAAACGUAGAGCAGUUAGCAACGGGCUGGCACUCAUGGGCUCCCUGACAUAUAUUUGGUCUCAACCUCCUUAAACCACGAAUUAUACUUUAUUUGAAAAAAAUGGGAUCUUGU